CAGAGGGUGCAAGCGUUGUUCGGAAUUACUGGGCGUAAAGCGCGCGCAGGCGGUCCUUUAAGUCUACCCGUGAAAUGCCGGAGCUCAACUCCGUGCACGCCGGGGAUACUGGAGGACUAGAGACGAGUAGAGGCAAGCGGAAUUCCGGGUGUAGCGGUGGAAUGCGUAGAGAUCCGGAAGAACACCGGAGGCGAAGGCGGCUUGCUGGGCUUGGUCUGACGCUGAGGCGCGAAAGCGUGGGGAGCGAACAGGAUU
RNAcentral lists this ribosomal RNA (255 nucleotides) under uncultured bacterium. Its description in RNAcentral is "partial 16S ribosomal RNA". It matches the Rfam family "Bacterial small subunit ribosomal RNA", at positions 526 to 779 of the family's 1533-position model. The record is from RNAcentral.